AGAAGGCGUCCCUCCUACCACUCUCCGCGAGAUUUCCCUCUUGCGGAUGCUCUCUAGGGAUCCUCAUAUCGUCAGAUUGCUGGGUACACCAAAUGAACAAGUCUGGCCAGGAGUGAGCAAGCUGGUGAAUUGGCAUGAGUAUCCACAAUGAAAAUGGCCUUAACUUGCUAGCUGAAAUGUUGCAUUAUGAACCAUCAAGAAGGAUUUCAGCAAAGAAAGCCAUGGAACAUUCUUAUUUUGACGAUUUAGACAAAUCGUAUCUUUAAACAGCAAUCCGGCUGGGUUGUUUUAUGAUUGUAGUGAGCAAGUUUAUCUUGACUUUAGGAUAACAGAGUUCAAGAACCCUCAAAUUGCUUGCCUUAAGCAUAUUACAUUUUUCUUUAAUUUCUUGAAUGAAUAUUGUACUGCUAUUGGGUUUGGUAGGUGCACUGAAAAUGUAAGGCUGCCAUUUAAGGGCAUAUUAAGUAGUGAUUAUUCCUUCUACAGAGGGUUGGGCUUCCCCUAGUAAAUAGUCUACAUUUUGGACCAAGCUCAUAUUAUAUAUGCUGAUUUUGAGAUGUGGUGCAAUUGCUUUUCUUUUUUUGCUGGUUAACUUUUUGAAUUUUAAUGUUUAAGGAUGUCAAAUAGAAUGUAAAUGGAGAUGUUAAUAUUGGACACUCCGAGGACUCGACUCUGAAGAAUCUUUUGACUCCUUUUGAGGUUAACAAGAUGAAUUUUCCUCAUCUUUAUUUAUGUUGAAGGCUUUUUUCCACAGAAGACAUGUGAGAAAAGUCUGGAGCAGCUUUUGCAUCUGAAUGCAUCUUUACCUGUAACAAGUGCCAGGAUGGUAAGCAUGUGAAAAACAAUGCCAAGGGGAAGUCUGUUAUUGAGGACAGUGUGUCCAAGAACGAAGAAAAGGGGUAAAGUUACAGUUGUUGUACCUCUUCGACGUUCUGCUAGGAGAGCUAAAAUUGUGCAGGUGCAAGAGAAAAAUGCUAACAAGAAAGU
Ipomoea triloba (trilobed morning glory) is the source of this 987-nucleotide long non-coding RNA. RefSeq lists it as uncharacterized. The record is from RefSeq and is a predicted model, not a curated record. NCBI's taxonomy places the organism in Eukaryota, Viridiplantae, Streptophyta, Magnoliopsida, Solanales, Convolvulaceae. The transcript has 4 exons.